GACGAACGCUGGCGGCGUGCUUAACACAUGCAAGUCGAACGGAAAGGCCCUGCUUUUGUGGGGUGCUCGAGUGGCGAACGGGUGAGUAACACGUGAGUAACCUGCCCUUGACUUUGGGAUAACUUCAGGAAACUGGGGCUAAUACCGGAUAGGAGCUCCUGCUGCAUGGUGGGGGUUGGAAAGUUUCGGCGGUUGGGGAUGGACUCGCGGCUUAUCAGCUUGUUGGUGGGGUAGUGGCUUACCAAGGCUUUGACGGGUAGCCGGCCUGAGAGGGUGACCGGCCACAUUGGGACUGCGAGACGGACCAGACUCCUACGGGAGGCAGCAGGGGGGAAUAUUGCACAAUGGGCGGAAGCCUGAUGCAGCAACGCCGCGUGCGGGAUGACGGCCUUCGGGUUGUAAACCGCUUUCGCCUGUGACGAAGCGUGAGUGACGGUAAUGGGUAAAGAAGCACCGGCUAACUACGUG
Molecule: ribosomal RNA, 468 nt
Filed under: uncultured bacterium
Lineage: Bacteria
Description: partial 16S ribosomal RNA
Rfam family: Bacterial small subunit ribosomal RNA
Source: RNAcentral